This 440-nucleotide ribosomal RNA is filed under the name uncultured bacterium. Its description in RNAcentral is "partial 16S ribosomal RNA". It matches the Rfam family "Bacterial small subunit ribosomal RNA", at positions 338 to 795 of the family's 1533-position model. The record is from RNAcentral.
CCUACGGGCGGCAGCAGUGGGGGAUAUUGCACAAUGGGGGGAACCCUGAUGCAGCGACGCCGCGUGGGUGAAGAAGCGCCUCGGCGCGUAAAGCCCUGUCAGCAGGGAAGAAAAUGACGGUACCUGAAGAAGAAGCCCCGGCUAACUACGUGCCAGCAGCCGCGGGAAUACGUAGGGGGCAAGCGUUAUCCGGAUUUACUGGGUGUAAAGGGGGCGCAGGCGGCGAUGCAAGCCAGGAGUGAAAGCCCGGGGCCCAACCCCGGGACUGCUCUUGAAACAGCGUGGCUGGAGUGCAGGAGGGGCAGGUGGAAUUCCUGGUGUAGCGGUGAAAUGCGUAGAUAUCAGGAGGAACACCGGUGGCGAAGGCGGCCUGCUGGACUGCAACUGACGUUGAGGCCCGAAAGCGUGGGGAGCAAACAGGAUUAGAUACCCCAGUAGUC